GACGAACGCUGGCGGCGUGCUUAACACAUGCAAGUCGAACGGAAAGGCCCUGCUUUUGUGGGGUGCUCGAGUGGCGAACGGGUGAGUAACACGUGAGUAACCUGCCCUUGACUUUGGGAUAACUUCAGGAAACUGGGGCUAAUACCGGAUAGGAGCUCCUGCUGCAUGGUGGGGGUUGGAAAGUUUCGGCGGUUGGGGAUGGACUCGCGGCUUAUCAGCUUGUUGGUGGGGUUGUGGCUUACCACGGCUUUGACGGGUAGCCGGCCUGAGAGGGUGACCGGCCACAUUGGGACUGCGAUACGGCCCAGACUCCUACGGGAGGCAGCAGUCGGGAAUAUUGCACAAUGGGCGGAAGCCUGAUGCAGCAACGCCGCGUGCGGGAUGACGGCCUUCGAGUUGUAAACCGCUUUCGCCUGUGACGAAGCGUGAGUGACGGUAAUGGGUAAAGAAGCACCGGCUAACUACGUG
RNAcentral lists this ribosomal RNA (468 nucleotides) under uncultured bacterium. RNAcentral's name for it is "partial 16S ribosomal RNA". It matches the Rfam family "Bacterial small subunit ribosomal RNA", at positions 28 to 507 of the family's 1533-position model. The record is from RNAcentral.